GACGAACGCUGGCGGCGCGCCUAACACAUGCAAGUCGAACGAGCGAGAGAGAGCUUGCUUUCUCGAGCGAGUGGCGAACGGGUGAGUAACGCGUGAGGAACCUGCCUCAAAGAGGGGGACAACAGUUGGAAACGACUGCUAAUACCGCAUAAGCCCACGGGUCGGCAUCGACCAGAGGGAAAAGGAGUGAUCCGCUUUGAAAUGGCCUCGCGUCCGAUUAGCUAGUUGGUGAGGUAACGGCCCACCAAGGCGACGAUCGGUAGCCGGACUGAGAGGUUGAACGGCCACAUUGGGACUGAGACACGGCCCAGACUCCUACGGGAGGCAGCAGUGGGGAAUAUUGCACAAUGGGGGAAACCCUGAUGCAGCGACGCCGCGUGGAGGAAGAAGGUCUUCGGAUUGUAAACUCCUGUUGUUGGGGAAGAUAAUGACGGUACCCAACAAGGAAGUGACGGCUAACUACGUGCCAGCAGCCGCGGUAAAACGUAGGUCACAAGCGUUGUCCGGAA
Molecule: ribosomal RNA, 509 nt
Filed under: uncultured Clostridiaceae bacterium
Lineage: Bacteria; Bacillati; Bacillota; Clostridia; Eubacteriales; Clostridiaceae
Description: bacterial SSU rRNA
Rfam family: Bacterial small subunit ribosomal RNA
Source: RNAcentral